RNAcentral lists this ribosomal RNA (429 nucleotides) under Gemmatimonadota bacterium. Its description in RNAcentral is "Gemmatimonadetes bacterium partial 16S ribosomal RNA". It matches the Rfam family "Bacterial small subunit ribosomal RNA", at positions 355 to 776 of the family's 1533-position model. The record is from RNAcentral. Lineage: Bacteria; Pseudomonadati; Gemmatimonadota.
UAGGGAAUCUUCGGCAAUGGACGAAAGUCUGACCGAGCAACGCCGCGUGAGUGAAGAAGGUUUUCGGAUCGUAAAACUCUGUUGUUAGAGAAGAACAAGGACGUUAGUAACUGAACGUCCCCUGACGGUAUCUAACCAGGAAGCCACGGCUAACUAUGUGCCAGCAGCCGCGGUAAUACGUAGGUGGCAAGCGUUGUCCGGAUUUAUUGGGCGUAAAGCGAGCGCAGGCGGUUUCUUAAGUCUGAUGUGAAAGCCCCCGGCUCAACCGGGGAGGGUCAUUGGAAACUGGGAGACUUGAGUGCAGAAGAGGAGAGUGGAAUUCCAUGUGUAGAGGUGAAAUGCGUAGAUAUAUGGAGGAACACCAGUGGCGAAGGCGGCUCUCUGGUCUGUAACUGACGCUGAGGCUCGAAAGCGUGGGGAGCAAACAGG